Phragmites australis (common reed) is the source of this 1039-nucleotide long non-coding RNA. RefSeq lists it as uncharacterized. The record is from RefSeq and is a predicted model, not a curated record. NCBI's taxonomy places the organism in Eukaryota, Viridiplantae, Streptophyta, Magnoliopsida, Poales, Poaceae. The transcript has 2 exons.
UUCAGUGCUGUCACUCGAGAUUCUGCAGAUUGCUUAGUUAUAUUUGAAAUUGACGUCGUGUUCUGCAUCUCAAUUCAUCCCUAUGGUAUCAUGGUAGCAGCAUCGUGUGAUACCAAAUUGCGCUCUUGCACUGGAAGUGCAACACAAAUUGAUUAGAAAUCAUAAGAAAAAUGAGCAGUCCCUUUUCUGUCUUAGAAGAUGUGCCAUUAACCGAUUAAUGCUUGUAACACUCAAGAAUAUGAUUCUUCUAAACUACUGUUGUAGUGAAAAGAUUUUUUUCCUUAAAAAGAACAAUCUUGGAAAUUUAAAAGUUUCUUUAGCUUUUAAACAAGAAAUUAGGAACAUAGGAUAACUUUGAUUUCCACGAGUAGCUAUGUAUUUAUACAUUUCGAUUACCUCCAUCUCUCUUUAUAUGAUUUCUGUCCUUGUUUUCUGACUCCAGUUUUGUGUCAACUAGAUAUUCUGGUGGCCAUGCCUCCUCGAUGCUAGCACUAUUGAACAAACACAUCAUGUAUAGUACAAUGUCGGAGUUUACUAGAAACAACCGAAAUGGAAUAACUUUUUUUUUUUUACUUUUUUCGAAGGAUAUCUCUCUUUACUCUUGAUUGCAUAUGCCAGAUGCUAGGCUGCUACACUAGUUUUCGGUGCCUGGGGGCCGGGGGUGGUAAGGUGGUGGGAACGAACAUACACUGCCUUUCGGUUUGUGGCACAUGUCCAGCAACUGCAAUUCUGUUUCAGAAGCCUCGAAUAAAGCUUGCACAAAGGCAUCAACAUGCCAUCUUAAGCAGACCAAGCUGAGAAUCUCCUGAAUGUGCUUCUCUCAAGCUUAUUCAGGAAAACGCCAGAGGUGUGAAGCCGCUCGUGGACCAUCCAGAUGUUUUAUCGUGGCUAGUUGUUACUGAAAAGAUGUCAGAAAGCGCUGAUGGAUUGCACGAAUCAGGUCUCUUCGGCCCAGAGCAAAGAUUCUCAAAUCCAUUUGGUGUACUAUUAGAUCGCAUCUAUGUUUGCAAAAUAUAUAAGCCAGCAUUCAUCGUCUCAA